This 34219-nucleotide long non-coding RNA is filed under the name Salvia miltiorrhiza (redroot sage). Its description in RNAcentral is "long non-coding RNA (SMIL_LNC002676)". The record is from RNAcentral. Lineage: Eukaryota; Viridiplantae; Streptophyta; Magnoliopsida; Lamiales; Lamiaceae.
UGGCAAACAACUUUCUCAAAGUUGUGGUGGUGGAGCCUCCAUGUUUUGGCUAACAAUUUUUUGCUUACUUUAAUUAAGGUAUUUUAUAUUUUUGUACACUUAGAAAGAAAAGAAAAAAAUACGUGUACUGUCAUGUCAGGUUAUAACGGAAUUUUGACUCGCAAAUUCUUGAGAUAUUUUUCGGUCAAGAACGAUUGGCUUAGAAGAUUGAAUUUUAUUCCUGAAGUGAAAUAUGACCUUUUUAACGUAAAUCUCUCAAAUUCUCCAAAGAUGACAUCAUCAAAAUAUAUUCUCAUCGGAGCACGAGAUAGUAAAGCAACCUCCUCAGCAUAUCAACAAUCCGGCCGCCCUUGAGCGCAUCCGAUUUCGUCGCAUAAACCUGAGCUCCACACCUCUCCGCGCCGCCGCCGGUCAGCAUUCCGAAGCUCCGGCUCGCCGCGAAUUCAAUCUUCAAAUCACCGCACUCGAUCGUCAAGUACGACGACGCCGUUCCGCGCGUGGCGUUCGCCUCGAUCAACAGAUCGAGAAUCACGAUCCCCCCGCCACCGGCGGCAGCAGCGGCCUCUUCCGCCCGCAUCGUGAAAUUCGAGCGCAGAGACAGUCCGCCGCGACCGCGGAUCAUCGACGGCGCUCCGACGGAGACGAAGCCGCCUCUCGAGUAGAGCCACGACCGAGCCUCGUAGGCAACGCCGGGAUCGGCGAAGAGGCCUCGCUCCGAUUGAUUGCUCAAGGACAGAUCUGCGCUCCAUGAGCUGUCGGAGAUGUUGAAAGACGAAACGUGGAAGGAAUCGACCUCGUACUCGGUCUGCACGCUGAGGAUUAAGGCUUCUGUCGCCAUCAAGGUGAGGGAGGCUGCGAAGAGGGAGAUUAUAAUUAAUGCUGGCAAUGCGGCCGGGGAGGAAUCUUGGGAGCUCGGCGGGUUCUCGAGGUCGGCGGCUGCUGACGGCGGCGGACUUCCGAGGUUGUUGUCUCCCUUUGCGGCUGCGCGAUGGUGAUCGGACAUGUUUGGAGUUUUUUUUGUUAUCUCAUCUUUUUUUUUUUGAUAGACAUGUGAGUCUUGAAGAAGUAAGUAAUUUAAUUGGAUGGAAUUUAGGCUGAGUGUUUGAUUCCAAGUGGGGUUUUGAUGGUGGAGGGAAUAUUCGAAUGAGAUAUUAUGUCUAAAUCCGGGGUAUAUAUAUCUCAACAAAUAUUUGUAUAUUUUAUUGUGGAUCUAAACUUUUCUAUCUUAAUCUGAUCGCCAAGGAUAAUUUACUAAGUUUUUGUGCAAAUAUCACAAUGAGCAGAAAAGAAUUGGAUGAAAUGGGGUUGAAUGGGAUUCAGAGAUUUGAAGUGUUAUAACAAAGCGAUGGUCUCAAACCAGGUGAAGGGGAUGUUUUGAAAUCCUAGUUCGUUGGUUGCACGUGUCUUGGAAGCGAUGUAUUACUAAGCCAAAUGCUUCCUUUAUUCUGGAGCCCAUUGGUUAUUCACAAACGUCUAUUACGGAGAGUUGGAAAUGGGAAUUUUUUUGAGAAUUUCCAAUAUAAAUGGGCGAUUAGUUUGAAGGAGCCCAAAAUAUUGACAGUUAAGGAGUGGAGACUUUUUUUAUACUAAUAAAUUAAUAAUAAAAUAAAUAAAUUUAAAGACCGCCAAAAAAAAAAAAAAAAAGAUGAGACUUUGGAGACUUGUGUAGUCCUUAUCUUUGUCUAUCCGCACAUGUCUCUAAGUUUUUGUUUGCUUUGUACACAAUCUCAUCUUUUGCCCCAUAAUUCUCCAUUACGAUUUUGGAAUUUUCUUAAAAGACAAAUGGCUUGAAUAUGCUGGAUAUAAUCUUGAGUUGGAGGACUAUGAUGUUGUGAUUUUUAAAAUUCUAAUGGCAGAUUCGACAGAGGAAGCUCGAUGAUAUUAGUAAUGACGUCCACGGAUUGAGAAUCGCCGAUUUCAAACUUGAACUAGCGAUUCAUAGUUCACAGGAAAAAUGAAUCGUAAUCGGACCGUGAAGAGGUAGUGACGGGAUAGUUCCGAGCCUAGAACCGGCAGUUUCGAGCGGGGCCUGAAAUCGUCGGUUCAAGGGUCGAAUCGAUAGUUUUUGACUUUAUUAUUAUUAUUUUUAUUUUGUGAUUUAUUAUGUAUAUUUUUAUUAUGAAAUUACAUUAUUUAAUGUAUUACAUGUAAUGAAAUUGAUGAAUAAAGUCAAUACGAAAUGCAAUAAAUUAUAAACAAGAUAAAAUUAUACGUACUAACAUAUUUACAAUCAAAAUAUAAUAAAAUUCACAUUUUUAUUGAAUUUCAAGGUAAAAAAAAAUACAAUUUACAUAUACAAAUAAAUUAAAAUAUUCAAAAUUUAAGUUACAAUAUUGAAUAAGUAAACUAAACUAACUACGCUAAAGUUUCUAAACUACUAAGAGUCUAAGAUUAACAAUUAUAUUAGAUGUAAGUGGUUUUAUACCCUUACCAUUAUCUCUAGUGGUUUCUUCCACAUCAUGUUGUGUGUUUGACUGGCCUCUUCCCUUUGCAAACUAUAUGCAAAUCGUUCACCCUCCUCUUCUUGCAAAUGUCGAGCAUGUUGUUCAUCUAUGAAUUCGGCAACCUCACAGCAUAAUGAUGGAGUCAUCUUCUUGAUGAUAAUGAAUGAGGAGGAGGUUGGAGUGCUAACAUCUUCAUCCUAGGAGUCGAGGUUAAUAGACUUGUCAUGGUUAUCACGAGAUGAAGACAUAAUGAUAAAUACAAGAAAUGUAGUAGUAGGACAAGUAGAGAUUAAUUUAACAAGAACAAGAGAGUAUAUAUAACAAGAACAAUUUAGUAAAAGCAACUAGAGCACAUAAAAAAUAGAGUCAAAGUAGAAGUAAAUGAAGAAGAGAGUGUAGAAUUGUUAACAUAAUGUGAGUGAGUUUGAAGAUAACCGUCACUUUCCGCCUCGACUGCCACGCCUGCCACCCCUAGCCCCCUAUCCAAUGCACCCCUACAAGCUAGGCAGUCCAAUCUAACGUUAACUAUAUAUUCGCGAUUUUUGGGCUUGUAACCGAAUAAGGUGUGUGACAGUUUUGAUUUUAGCCCGUGAUCAAUGAUUUCGAGCCCAGACCGUUCACCACGGGCCGAUUCACCCGAUUCCAAUUGACCUUGGAUGUCAUUACUUGCGAGUACAUGUUGGUGGGAGUGUCUCAUAUGCACUCAUCUGCUAAUCGUGCAGUUUAUUAAUUAGUCUAUUUGUUGGACUGAUAAUUUUUCGUUGUGCUUGAUGGAUAUUGUAACUUGUAAAAGAAGACCUCAUUGAAUAUACAAUAUAUUUUCCACUAUAAAGAAAAAAACUAGCAUUUAGUUUCUUUAUGUUUAUAUUCGCACUAGACCACAAUAUAAUGUAUAUUUGCUUGAUUAUUUAGUUGAACUGUCAUGUUUUAUGUUAAAUAUUUUUUUUAAAUAAAAAUAUAGCUCAAAUGUGACUAUCUUACUCCGUAGUCCUUGGGCCCUUUCGCAACAACAAAAUUUAGUUAAAUCUUCCUUCAAAUCCACAAAAAUAUAGACACAAAUAGUGAUAAAUAUAUAUUUCAUAUACAGACGAGAUCCUCUACUUCAAACCGUUUUCGAUCAGUGACACAAGUGAAUGCAUUGCUAAUAAAUAAAUAAAUGAAGAGAAAAAAAAUAUGAAAGAAUUCAUGCAAGCCUCCCACUCUCUUCAAGCAUCAUCCCUUUAAGGCUUUUAGCCAACCACAUUGCUGUAUCUCUGGGAGAAACCUUUUCCUUCCCAAAAGGCUUCAAAACUACUGCAAGCUCUUCCAACUUGCUCUGCUCAAGCAAAUCAGCACACAGCUCCAGCAGCCCCUCGAGCGCGUCUGCCCGUUGCCUAAACGAUUUCACAUCUAAGGUCUCCUUUGCCACUACUUCCUCCGAUGUGUUUGGUUGAGCUGAGCUGGAAGAAUCCGAUGUAACGUGACAUAUGGUGAUGGAGGAGGAGGAGGCGUCCGUUACCGGUGAAACGAGGAUUUCCUCAUCACCACAAGGUGGGAUCAUCUCCAUAUGUAAAGCACAGCUCAUCUCUUCAUCCUCCAAAAUCUCAUGGAAAGUAUCAAUGGAGCGUGCUGUUGCUUGAACCCCGUCACACGCUCUUUCAGAGUGUGACGAGGAAGGUGUGGAGCAGCUCGGUCUAGACUCGUUGAUAUCUAGCUCGGUAGCUUGCUGGUUCAUGGCUUUGCAGCAGGUCUCAUGGUGUUUCUUCGAGGGAGAUGAUGACGAGCUAAUAGGAGUUCUUACGUCAUUACCAAGCUCAAAUCCCGGGACUGAAGAUGCUGUAUGUCUACCAUCUUUCUGCAUUCUAUUAGAUGCAGCAGAGUUCCUACAAUGCUGCAUGAUUUCUUCACGAAAGUGCAAUCGUGAGGUACGAGGCACUGAUUUGGCAUGUUCAUCACCAUCCGUAGCUUUAUCUGGGUGGUGUCCCAGCUGUCUCAUCCGAGCAGGAAAUGAAGAAGUUCUAUCGAGGGCUCGUUUGGAAGAGAGUUCUUCACCAGAAACUAGCUUCAUAGGAGCAGUAGAAGGGGUUCCUUCAUGUCUGACUUUGGUCUUUUGCGGAGUUUCCAUGACAGAUGACUGUAAAAAGGUUAAUACAUCAGAAUCUAGAUUGAAAGAGACGACGAAAACCCAUAAAAUAACUAUUACCCGGGGCUUUGAAGAGCUUGCACUACUUGAUCUUGCAUGGCAGUCUCUCAAGGGAGAAGUAUUUUCUCUGCUUUUGCCUUCCUUCAGAGCCUUUAUAAUGUUCUUGAUGACCCUCGGCUGCUUUGGCAUGUCGUCCCUCUCAGCUUCCUUCGCAUUUGCAGGCGACGAAUCAGUUUCUUGUAGACCAUCUCUUAACCGAAGCUGCCCGUAGGAACGAGUUUCAGCAAUGAUAAGGCCAUCCUCUAGAAUCUCACUCGACAUCAGGCUGUCUCUGUCGCUGCAAGAACUGCUGCUGCUGCUGCUGCUUUCGCUUUCAGUCAUACUCUUCCUAUUGUCGUUAGCAGUACAAAUAUGUCUUGUAGGAGCAGUGUAAGAUUGACGGUACUCAUCGAUGUAGGGUUGCAGAAAAGUGUGCUUCAUCAAGAGCUCAGACGCCUGAUAGAGAUUGAAACCGGAUUACAUAAAGCCUUUCCUAGAGUAAAAAGGAAUGACAUCUCUAGAUUCUUACACUCGACCGAUGUUCAGGAUUUUUGCGCAGCAUGCUCUUGAUGAGAGAUUUCCUGUGACAUAACACGUCGUGAAUUAGUCAGCACAGACAAAAUGAACAGAGGAUCGAGUAUUUGCAAGAGAGAAAACGUGUUGUUUCAGUGCAGUAUGCUUUCAUCAGAUUAGGCCGAGUCAGUGGGGUAGGAAACAGAAACCAAAGGUCAGUGAUAUCACCACUCCACCCCCUAUCGACUCUCAAAGCACAACGACAAGAGCAAAGAGAAUAAAUAGUUAUUUACAAGGAUGGGGAGUAACAAGGAGGCAACGGGCCAAUGGCUGAUCGGUUAAUCUUGCUUAUUAAGCCUGCCAUAUCCUGAAAACACAAAUACAGCAGACAUGAGAUAUGUAAGAAGAAUCUGAAUAGAUAUAAACAUACAGUUAGGAAUCUUACAGAAGCCUUGAAUGCACGACGAUGAGCAGCCAUUUCAUACAUGCAGCAACCUGAUUGAUACAGAUGAAACGAGGUCCGAUUACUGUGAUUCAUUCUUCUACAUCAGUAGAGAAGAUUAAAAUGGUUAAUUACAUAAUACGUACCAAGGGACCAUAUAUCAGAUUUCAAACCAUAAGGAAUAUCAGCAAGUAGUUCGGGGCACAUGUAAUUUGGAGUUCCAACCACCUGUGCAAAGAAACAAAGACGAAUUGUCCCAGCCUCAAAAGCUUUCACUACAAAUGAUUCACACAGCCUAAUGUAGAAAUCUGAAAGAGAUAAAAGAAUGCUUAGUAAGCCCAUACUGAAGAAGCUAAAUCAUCUGCUUUCAAAGUUUUAGCAAGCCCGAAAUCACCUGCACGAACAUAACAUCAAAAAGGGAUAACAACAUCAGUUUGUGCAUCGAGGUUUCAUUCAAGCUAAGCUAAAAAAUGACCAACUGUGACUUCAAGCUUACCUAGACGAAUAUCUUGAUCUUUGGUGAGGAAGAUGUUUGAGCACUACCAAGAAAGAGCAGAGAUAAUAGUCCAUAUAACCAUUUAAGCUGAUCACAAAAAAAAAACAACUGGGUUUAACACUGAGAUGCUUACUUUGAGGUCCCGAUGGAGAACAAAACCAGAAUGAAGAUACUCAACUGCCAGCAAUAGCUGAGUGAACCACUUCAACAGUUUCUGCAUCAUGAUUAUAAUAUAAUUUAACUGGCUAAGACAAGCCACGACAAAAAUAAAACGAAGAAAACCAUAUCUGCGAAACAGCAUAAAAGAAAGCCUAAUCUUCGGAGUGGAAAAAAAUAAAACCUCCUCAGGAAAGUAGUGCCCAUUGGCUUUCUUCAUAAGCUCAGCCCUAUUGCAGUUUCCAUGACCAAACAACUGAAUUAAAUUCGCCAAAACCGUGCAUAAAUUUCCAGCAAAAAAAACUACAUAUGCAAAUACUUACAUGUCACCACCUUCACAAUAGCCAGUAACUAUGCAAACAAAGCAACCCUGCAUACAAGUAAUAACUAUUGAGGAAAGAAACUUAGCUAAAAUGUCUAAAACAUACUAAUCACAAAAUGUAUCUUUUUGCUGACAGUUAGUAGCUGCAUUACCUUCUCCACCCAAGCUUCCUUGAACUCGACGAUGAACGGAUGCUGUAGCUGAGCAAUUAGGGCCAUCUACACAUUCAAACAGCAAAAAUGCAAGCACUAGUAAACACCAUAAAUCACAUUUACAUCAAAAAAAUUACACUUCAACUUAUUAAAGGAGAUAGAAUUUUGAAAUGGCCCUUUUGCCAACAAUUAGUAAAAACACCAUAAAUCACAUUUACAUCAAAAAAUUUACACUUCAACUUAUCAAAGGAGAGAAUUUUGAAAUGGCCCUUGCCAAGAACUAGUAAACACCAUAAAUCACAUUUGCAUAAAAGAUUUACACUUCAACCUAUCAAAAAAGAUUAAAUUUCGAAAUAACCUUUUUGUCAAGAACUGGUAAACACCAUAAUUCACAUUUACAUAAAAAAAUAUACACUUACAUCUGAUCAAAGAAGAUGGAAUUUUGAAAUGGCCCUUUUGCCAAGAACAGUAGCUAGAAUACAAAAUAGGCACAGAAUCAACAGAAAAGCAAGCAUAGGCCUCAAGAAUCGAAUGGUUUAAAUUCAAUAAAAACAAAAUAAAACAAGACAAAGUCAGAUAAAUAUAGUGAAACAUGAAUGCACCUCCUGAUGAGCUGAUCUCCUGCAACGUUCUGUUUGUCUAGCCAAUCGAAUCUUCUUCAGCACAUACCUAAUAAAUUACCAAAAAAAAAAAUAUAAAAUCUACAUUUUUUUUCCAUAAUAAAUUGAAGAACCACCAUUCCAAAAUCUUCGGACAUCAAUAAAUUUAACAUAAGGUCUAAAAUAAACUACUUUUUUCUUUCCAACUUGUGAUUAACCAAAAUGGCUGCACCAAAAGCUCCACGCCCAAUCUGCUCCAUGAUCUCAUAAUGGUCCAUUUUUGACUCCAUCUUCUCAGCAAUCUGUCCGCAUAAAAAACAAAAAUAAAAUAAAAAAGGGAAAAACUCUUGAGACGUUGAGACUGCAGAUAUUCUGCGAUAUUUAUUACCCCGAAUAACUGAACUGCUGCAGGCAGUGGCUAUGUGCAUGAGCACAAUAAAUGAGAAUGUGAAAUUAAUUAACCUAAUCUUUGGAUUUUCUGCUGCUUCUUCUUCUUGUGCAGAUUAGUUUCAAAGAUUUGUUGAAUGGCAUAAAGAGCAGAAUUAACAGACCAAGAAGAAAAGCAUGAGCACUAAAUUUUCGGAAAUGAAGUAAGCAUUGAAAUGAUUGAAAAUGUAGUUAAAUCUUUUUUCAUAAAAUGUAGUUAAAUUUUGCACUAAGAAAUACAGGUAUUUUUUUUUUAUGGGUUGAAUUAAACAAAGCUGGGAAAAGUGGGCCUGAAAGAAUUUAUGCUCCUAUUUGAGUUAAAUUUAUGUAAAUCUUUACUUUAUUAGGGUUGUCGCAUUAACGCUUUUUUUAUUCUGAAUAAUUGUGUUUUUGUUCGCCGGGGUAGUUUUGUCUUAAGUUUUAAUUGGGCUUUAAAUUUAGAUUUAAUUAUUUCAAAGGCCCUGAGCUUUUAGGUGUUUUUCAAUUAUAAUGAGAUACGGUAUUAAUCAUCCAUCAAAUUUUUAGACAAUGAAUCUAAUGUGUUCGGAAAAUUAAUUAAUACACUGACAUUUUGUUUUUUGAAAAGUAGAUAUAAAAUUUUCAUUCAAAAUGUAGAGUACCAGACGUAGUCAAAAUAAAUAUCUCAAACAGUCUUGAUACCAAAAAAGAAGAAAGAAGAAACUAUAGAUCUAUUGGCAUACAGUCGAUAGGAUGUGAACUCUACUCAUGCAGAGAUGCUCAAAAAGAUGCUGGAUAGUGAGACUUUAACCAUUUCCAUGAGCAGAAUUUAAUACUCUCCACGAUGUUCUCAACGAUCGGUAUUGAGUUUUUGAAAAUCUUCUCAUUUCUCGCCUUCCAAAUUCUCCACACCACAUUGCCAUAUAAAGCCAAGAAUUUUAUUCUUCACUUUUCCCAAAUCAAAACUCACAAAAUCCCUGAGAUGUUAUUUCAAAACAGUCGCAUAAAACAAAUGAGCCAUUCACAUACCUUAGACCACACAAAGAGUGCCUCGUAACAGGUAAGAGGAACAUGUCACGAAGAUUCAUUUUGAGCCCAACACAUAGCACAGACACCGUCUUUUUGUGAGAGUAAAAUUCCUCUUUUAAUAAAGUUAUCCUUUGUUGGUAAUCUGCUUAGCAUUGCUUUUCAAACAAAAGCCAAAAUCUUCAACGAGAUGACUUUUCACCACAAUCUUGGCCAUUGAUCUGUAGCUUCUUCCUCACUUGGAGUUGCAUUUGCAAUGGUGAAAUACAGGUCCCUUGGAUGAAACAUCUCAUCGUUUGAAAUCGCCCAAAUUCGAGAAUCUGGUCGAUUGUGAUCGAACUCUAAUUUGCAAAUGCAAUUCCAAAGCUCCAAAAAGUCAUAAAAAUCAUAAGCAUUGAAGACACGAAGCUCCAUUAAACUGAAAGAACUCAUUCACACUACAAUGUUUCUACCUAGACAAAGCAUAUAAACCCCUAAACCUUUUGCACAGACUGCCGACUUGUUUCAGCCAUGGAUCUUCCUAAAAUUUAAUAGAAGACCCAUCACCCCAAGAAAUAUCAAUGUUAUUACAAAAAAAGACCCCCUCUUUACUUCUCAAUAAACUCAUCAAGUCUCUUCACCACUGCUAGGUCCGGAGGGUCUCGAAUAGGUGUAUGGGGGGGAAUACACCUAUAGGCCAUUUUUCGAAGAUCUCAAUACAGAGAUCAAAAACGAAACUACACACACAAACUCAGACACCUGUUUACUGAAAAGAGUUUUGACCAAAACAGGGUUGACGACUGAUACUUAAAGACUCUUCAGUAAUGAGUUAUCAAUUAAGUCACAGGAACUUAACUGAUGCACAUAAGGCUUCAGUCGAGUUUGAUAAACAGAGAUGUUAUAAAUCACACUGACUAUCAGAGGACAGAUCAUUCAGACUGAUAACACACGCAGCGGAAAAAUUUUGUUUCGCAAUAGCCUUUUGGGUUGAGCACGUUGUUAGUCUUAAGUUUCUCUUUGCAAUUAAUCAGUUUUCAGUUGAUGAGAGGAAGAGCACAAGUAAGAAAUUAAAUACUGAAAGCUGUAAAUAACACAGAGAUUUUUACGUGGUUCGAAAAAUACUUUCUACAUCCACGGUCGGUUGAUCAGACCAACAACUUCACUCUGUAAGUGCUUACGGGUGCACUGCAAACCGAUGUUCGUGCUUAUGGGUGCACAGCAAACCGAAACGUGUGCUUGCGGGUGCACACAACCGAAACAACUGAAGAUCCAAUCUUCAGUACCAACACACCUUGUUGGAUUUCUCACUCCUAGCACGAACUGGCACUAGGACCUCACGGAGACAGAGUACCUUCCUGAACUCAUUUGCAACUCAAACACUCGAUUCUAUCGGUCGAAUGGAGGUUUGAAAUCUUGUCAACUAAACUUCAAAGAACAAGUUCUUUGGAGUUAGUUUGACCUAGGCUUUGGAUAAACAAGGUUUGCCUAAGGUCUAAGAGAAUUUAUGUAAUCAGCAGUGACUGAUUUUUGGCUUUGGGAUUCUCUUCUUCGAUUCAAGCUUUGGGGAAUUUAAUCUUUGGCUGAGAAACAAUUUUGGCAGAGCUUCAGCUUAUGUUGUUGAAUCGGUGAAGAUUGAAGUGAUCCUCGAGCGCUACUUAUAGGAGAAGUCUUGAAUAGAUCCGUUGGCGGAGAAGGUCUUCAAGAUUUCUUCCGUUAGAGAGUAAUUUGAACUUGGGCUGAGGCUUCAAUCUUCGAGGUUCUUUGUUUGGUGAGAACGGCUACGUCUCUGAUAAAGUAGUCACCAAAUAUGAAUGACCUCUGCAGAGAAAGGACGAUCCUGAGAUCUCUGCAAUUAAUGCGGUUGUACUUCUGGAGUACGUGGAUUCCUUUGAACGUUGAAGGUUCAAUCCGAAGAAGAAUGUUUAACUGACUUGGCUUUAGUAUCAGUGCGCUGAUUCCACGUGGCUCGCAUUAAGUAAUCAAUUCAAGAUUGAUUCUUCGACUACUGCUUCAGUCGGCAACUUCAGUCCUUCGUUCUUCAGUCUUCAGUCUUCAGAACAACAACUAAACUAGAAAAAGAACUCUAACACUUGAGUUCGAUUAGUUCUAGUCUAUUACAAAUGAAACCUAUGGAUUUUGGUAUCAUCAAAACAAGGAUUAUGAUAUUCCAUUAAGUUCCCAACAACCACAAUGACAUGCUAUUAGACUCAACAUUAGACGCCCAAGCACUACUAAUGGGUCAAUAUCUUGAUUUGAGAAUCAAUAUCUAAAGCGACUCUUUCACCCGACAACAGUUUCCACAACCUCUCACGUUAAAAAUUCUAGUAUCUCUCACUCCUAAUCCCCCGACACUUCUACUUUUGCACACUUUGUCCCAUUUUGACCCAAUUAACUUUUUUAGGACUUUCUUCCCCCCCCUCCGGGCCCCCAUAAGAAAUCCCUCUGAAGCUUGGUUAAAGUUUUCAAAAUGCACACAGGAGCUUUAAAGAAGGAGAAGUGGUAGAGUGGAAGAGCAGCCAACACGGAAUUCAAAAGAACAAUCCUUCCUCCAAGAGAUAAGAACCUCUUUUCCCAUCCCAAGAGCUUCUUUUGGAAUUUGUCGAUGAGUGGUUUUCAAACUUUUUUUUUCCUAUGAUUCGCUCCAAUCGGUAAACCAAGAUAGGUGAAGGGCAGAUAUCCGAUUUUACACUGACAUUUUGUGUUGAAAUACUUGGACAAAAAUAUUUUCUUUAGAUGUGGUCUUGGGUACACCCGGGUUGACCAGUACCCAGAUCCUGACUCGUAUCCUGAUUCAAACCCGCAUCCUGACUCAAAUCGUGUAAAUGACACUAUUCGGUUAUACAAAUGACACUGAGUAUAAAUGACACUAUUCUGUUAUACAAAUGACACUGCCUGUAAUUGACACUAUUCUGUUAUACAAAUGACACUGCGUAUAAAUGACACUAUAACAUUAUAAAUGACAGUGUAUAUAAUUGACACUAUUUAGAAAUAUAAAUGAUAUUUCCUAUAAUUGACACUAUAAGAUUGUAAAUGACACUAAUAUUUUAAAUAACACUAUAAGAUUGAAAAUGACACUUUAACAUUUUAAAAUGUUACAGUGUCAUUUAUAUAAUUGAAUAGUGUCAAUUAUAAGCAGUGUCAUUUGUAUAAUUGAAUAGUAUCAUUUACACGAUUUGGGUCAGAAUGCGAAUUUGGAUUAGUAUGCGAGUCAGGAUUUGGGUGCGGGUGAAUGUAGGUGUACGAUACAUCCGAGUGUAGAGGAGAUUUUGUGUUUUUUAAACAUGUUUCGAUUAUUUCAAUUAGAAGUCUCUAAUUAUUGUAACUUCAACUGUUCAAUUAAGGAGACGAGAGUAUACGAAAUAACUAUUUUUUGAAAUACGAAAUAGUCCUUUGUAUACAGUUAUACAACAUAAGCAUUACUAUACAUUCAAUGUAAUUCUAUUUUUAUUCUUUAAAAAAAAUUAUUGUGUGUGUAUACGUAUCAUCAUUUUUUUAGACGGUAUACGUAUCAUCGUUAUUAUUACUUGAUAGAAUCCUAAUAUAUUUUCUAGUAUUUUUUUUAAGUCAGAAAAGCAUUAAUGGAUCUUUCUUAAUUACGUUAUCCAAGUGAGCAGGGUGGAAGUAAUAUUUGCCUUUAUAUGCCAUUAAUAAAUGCAUUUGUUUCUUGUGGUGCUCCAUUUAUUACCAAUUUGAACAAGCAAUUUACUGUACUCACUCUAUAAUAUGGACUAAUAUUUUAUUCUAUAUUUCUCGCACUAUUUGCACACUUAUGAGAUCAUGCAAAAACAGCUGAAGAUGAAAUGCCAUUCACAAAUAUAAGGAUGUCAUACAUUAAAUGCUACCUAUAAAUAACCCCCAAACAUAUAUACAUUUUUUAUGCAUGAAUAAAUAACCCCUCAAAGAAAAUAACAUUCUGUUCGAUUUUGUUGGUCCCAUGCUGUAAUUGAUAUGAAACCAGGGGGCUUAGCCCACUGGCCACCGGGUCCUCACUUAAGUGAAGUGACCCGGGUUCGAUCUCUCUUGGGAACGAAUUGGUGAUUGGAGAUAUAAGGUGGAGUUUGGUGAAUGGAGAGAUAAGGUGGUUCUUGGAGUGGAUGGGGAACUAACUACUAACAUUUAACAUGACUUUGACCGAUAAAAAAAAAAAAAAAUGCUGUAAUUGAUAUGAAGUAGACUUGGCGUUAAAAGUUACAAAGUUGCUUGAAAUCUAAGUAAACACGAUUGCAACAGCAUUAUAGAUUCAGUGGGUCCGUCAAAUAUGUCUAGAUUUAUUAAUGAAAUUACCAAAAAUAAUUACGUUCUAUGGCAGUAUCAUUUUAUUAUUUUCUCAUUCACCGUGGAGCUUUAAAUAAGUUUAACUAUUCGAACGUUGUUCAAGAUUUUGUUAUUUUAACAAUUAACUAUAAUUCCAGCCUCAAGCACAACACUUCUAGUAUUCAACUUAUUAUUAGUAAUUGACAAACUCAUUUGAUUUAUUUAGUAUAUAAUUUUUUCUCGGAUUGAUUGAGCUAGAGUUCUGUACAAACUUAGGGAUAUUCACAUCUUGUAAUGAUUGCGUUUGAAGACACGAAUCUAUAUGUGUUAUGCUUGGCAAUCGGUAAAUACGUCGUAUUUUUUGCCAUGGUAUUUUAAUUUAUAUAUUUUUGUUCAAAAUUCUAAAAUUUAUUUUGCAGUUAUUGGCAAUUGAUUUAUUCUUAUUCUUUUGAUAUUGAAGAAAUGCGUAGGUCGAAUAGUUACACUGCUUACGCCAAUUGGCGCACUUUAGUUUGGAGCGUGUGAUAUUGGCAAGCCGGAGUGGCCAUCAUUGCUGGGCCGACUCUCAAGUCUCACCCCUUUUCGGUGGGGUUGUCUAUCAUGCGCACAUGGUGUUCCACGACACGACGCUGCCGUCUGCAUUAAAUUUAACACAAAUUCUUGUGUGCACCUGGGUGCACGGUGCACCCGGGUCAAAUCUGAUCCAGAUCUGUAAACGAUAGAAUAUUUAUUAAAUGGUCUAGAGCAUUUACCAACUGAGCAAUUAGCUCAGCUGGUUCGGAUACAUUCUCAUAUUUUUGAGGUUGUGUGUUCGGUUCUUAGUAGCUGCAUUCUAGCGAUUUUAUUCUUCUACUUCCUUCUUUUCGUUCUUUUCAGUUUUCUUCUUAAUUUUUUUUUCGUUUUAUCUUUUUCUUUUUGUUCUUUUCUUUUCAUUUUUUUUUAUUCUUUCCAUUAUAUGGAAAUGACUCUAACACUAUUAUAUUAUAUAAAUAAUACUAUCAUGGUCCACAAAUAACACUAUAUAAAAAUGACAUUAACACUAUUAUGAAAAACAUGUUUCUAUUAUACAAAUGACACUAACACUAUAUAGUUCUACAAAUAACACUGUAUGAAAAUGACACUAACACUAUCAUAAAUGAUGCUAUAUAGUUUUACAAAUGACACUAACACUAUUAUAAAUGACACUAUUAUCUUAUAUAAAUAACACCAACACUAUUAUAUUUUACAAAUAGCACUAUAUAAAUGACACUAUCAUGUUAUAAAAAUAACACUAUAUAAAUGACACUAUCAUUUCAAAAUCUUAAAGUGUCAUUUUGAAAUGUUAAAGUGUCAUUUGAAAUAUUAAAGUUUUAUUCGUAAUGACGUAGUGUCAUUUCAAAAUCUUAAAGGUGUCAUUUCAAAUCUCAAAGUGUCAUUUUGAAAUGUUAAAGUGUAGUUACUAAUCUUAUAUUGUUGUUUGAAAUCUUAAAGUGUCAUUCCAAAUGUUUUAGUAUCAUUUGAAAUAUUAUAGUGUCAUUUCAAAUCAUGUAGUGUCAUUCGAAAUCUCAUAGUGUCAUUCGAAACGUUAUAGUGUCAUUCGAAAGGUUAUAGUGUCAUUCCAAAUCUUAUAGUGUCAUUCGAAAUCAUGUAGUUUCAUUUCAAAUGUUAUAGUGCAUUCGAAAUAUUAUAGUGUCAUUCGAAAUCUCAUAGUGUCAUUUAAAACAUCAUAGUGUCAUUCGAAACGUUAUAGUGUCGUUCCAAAUCUUGUAGUGUCAUUUGUAUGUCGGAGUAGUGUCAUUUGAAAUAUUAAAGUAUCAUUUAAAAUAUUGUAGUGUCAUUCGAAAUGUUAAAGUGUCAUUUGUAUAUCGGAGUAGUGCCAUUUGAAAUGUUAUAGUGUCAUUUGAAAUCUUGUAGUGUCAUUUAUAUGCCGGAGCGGUGUCAUUUGAAAUAUUAAAAUGUCAUUUAAAAUAUUAAAGUGUCAUUUAAAAUAUUGUAGUGUCAUUCGAAAUGUUAAAGUGUCAUUUGUAUAUCGAAGUAGUGUCAUUUAAAAUGUUAGUGUCAUUGAAAAUCUUAAAGUUUCAUUUCAAAAUGACAUAGUUUCUUUUGAAAUCUUGUAGUGUCAUUUGAAAUCUUGUUGUGUCAUUUGUAUAACAUGAUAUUGUCAUUUGAAAUGUUAUAGUGUCAUUUGAAAUGUUAUAAUGUCAUUUGAAAUCUUGUAAUGCUAUUUUGAAUGUUAAAGUGUCAUUUGAAAUGUUGUAGUGUCAGUUGAAUUGUAUAGUGUCAUUUGAAAUCUUAUAGUGUCAUUUGUAUAUCGGAGUAGUUUCAUUUAAAUUGUUAUUUGAAAUAUAAAUUAAAAGUGUCAUUCAAAUAUAAAUAUUGUAUCAUUUAUUAAUGUAGAUAGUGUAAUUUACUAAGAAAAAUAGCAUCAUUAUACAUAAAUUAAAAGUGUCUUUUAAAUAAAAAUAUAGUAUCAUUUACAAAGAAAAAUAGUGUCAUUUUUAAAUAUAUUAAAAGUGUCGUUUACUAAAAAAACUAGUGUCAUUUGGAUAUAUUAAAAGAAUCGUUUACUAAAAAAAAUAUUAAAAUAUUAUUUACUAAGAAAAAUAGUGUUAUUCAGAUAAAUUAACAGUGUCAUUUAAUAAGAAAAAUAAUAUCAUUUAUUAAAAAAAUAGCAUUAUUUAAUAAAAAAAUUAAUGUCAUUUUAAAAUAUAUUAAAAGUGUCAUUUACUAAAAAAAUAGUGUUAUUUAAAUAUAUUAAAAAUAUUAUUUGUAAUAUAAAUAUAGUACUCCCUCUGUCCCACUGUAUUUGAGAUUCUUUCUAUUUAAGGCGUCCUACUAUAAGUAAGACUCUUUCCUUUUUUGGUAAAGAUUUUACCCUUUAAACACAUUUUCACUUUUUCACCUACAAAUAAAAUACACUUUUUUUAAUUUUCGUGUCCAAAAAAAAAGUCUCACAUACAGUGGGACGGAGGGAGUAUCAUUUAUUAAGGUAGAUAAUGUUUUUUAUUAAGAAAAAUUGUGUCAAAGAAAAAAACGAAAAAAAGAUAGAGAAGAAAGGGAAAAAAAAUCAAUUUAAAACAGUGAAAAAUAGAGAGUAACUGGACGAAAAAAAGAAGAAGAAGAAAGAAAUCGAUUGAAACAAGAAAAAAAAAUGGAAGAAAAUUGUAGCAAUACAAAAUAAAUGAAUAAAAGGCGCUUGAGUGCGAUUAGUGAGAUUCGAACUCCCACCAUUCAAUUAGAGAAGUGAAAGCCCAGCCAGCUAAGCUAGUAAGCAAAUUAUUACAUAAUCCAUGCUUUUUAUAACUGAUGGUUUUUUGAGUUUUGAUGCGGGUUACUAUUUGGGUCAAGGUACAACCCACAAGACUGCCUCUAAAUUUAAUUGCUGCAGGCACUGCACAAUUAGAUUGUUAUCAUAUUAAUUUAAUUAUACAAAUCAUUUAAUUACUCUUUAAGCCACUUUAUCUUUUUUUCUCCUCAUGGGCACUGCACAUGGUAACUUACUAGCAUAUACCCACCCCAUUCUCAAAAACUAAAAACAAAAUAUACCUGCACAAAUUAAAAUAUAUAAAUAAUAUUCAUUUUUUACAGAGCUUGACAUUUUAUGCUAUUAAUGAAAAUAUAAUUAGAAAUAAAUGAUCUUUCUAAAUAAAAAAUCAUAUCGCCUGCGGCCUCUACCCAUAUCUCUUUAUCUCUCUCGACCCGCCACCUCCUUUCCCUCAGAUCGGUUUCUUUGAUGGCCUCCACCUCUCCGCUUUGCCUCGCCUGAUCGACGCAAUACGUCUCACUGAUAAACAUGCAUUUUUACCUCUUGGUGUGUCAUUUUUGAUGCUUAGUUGUGAGGAUUUUGUGUGUUUGAUGGUCUAUUUGAGCUUAUAUUCGUUUAUGGUCAAGAACUUGUUACUUGCUUGUGUUUGAACGAAUUUUUAGAAAUAAUGAAGCAGAAUUUGGAAGAAUUGGCUGAAAUAAAAGUUUUAUUUCGUCUCGAGAGGAGUUCGUGAGCGCAAACGGAUCAUAAAUCGGAGUUCGGACGAGGGAGAACGAGCCAAAACAAAAUCGCUUCGCAAAGUUGUCAGAAGUUUUGUUUCGUCACGCGGGCCAGCCAUGCGGCCGCGCGACGUGGCCGCGCGAGUCGCCGAGUUUUCGCCCAAAAGUCCGUUUUUCAGCCUUUUACACGAUUUUUGGGUAUUUUUGAGAGCUACAAGACCUAGGGCAUAUAAAUACUCCAAACUUAUUCAAACCUUUUCACUUUGUAUCAUAUUUUUACUUUUCCUGAGAGCUGGAGACGGAGAACGGAGAGAGCAAGAACUGAAGAUUCUCAAUUCUACUACGGUUUUAUUGUAAUGUUUUCGUUUUAUUGAGAUAUUGAUUCUAGUUCAUAUGUCUAUGUGUGGCUAGAAUCCUUUUCCCAGGGUUUAGGGAGUAGACAUGAUUUGAUUUCUGACUGUUUGAUUCAUUAAUUGAGAUUUUUUCCUUUUUAUGUUCUUGUUACAAUUGUUUGCUUUAUUGAUUGGCCACCAAUUUAGCAUAAUCAUAGGUUUUAAUUUGAGAUCGGGAGAUGAUAAUUAUUACCUGAACUAAGAACAUAGAACAAUUAUAUUUAAUUCUAAAGGGAAUUGAUAUGUGAGGGCGUUAAUCCUAGCUUUUAGGAGUUGCAUGUUAGAAGUGCGAUCCGGGGACGGUAGCCUUGCAUGUAAUCAACGGUUUGUAUGCCACGGGAGUGGGUAUAGACUAGUUUUGAGAUUGCCUUAGGAAUCAUCUUAUUAAUUGAAUUGAACAUGUUAGUUAGGAGAAUCUGUUGAAACCUUUCCUUGGGAAUCUUUCUUAUCUGUUUCUCCGUAUUUCCAGCUUGAUUUUUUUUUUCCUGUCAUUUUUAUUUAUUUAUUGUUUUAAAACAAAACUUCUAAUUCGUUUCCUAGAUAGAGAAUAAUAAUAGAUAGGAUUGGUUAUCAGUCUCUGUGGAAUCGACCUUGCUUGCUACUGUACACAAUUGCACGUACACUUGCGCGUGUAAAAUAAAAUAGCGAACUAAGUUUUUGGCGCCGUUGUCGGGGACUGUUUUAUCAGUACUAUCUGUGAUUGUUGAACUAAUCUGGUAUUUUUUUUGUGUUUAUUUUUAUUUAUGUUCUUCUUAUUUUUCUUUUGGUUUCUUUAUUUUUUGGUUCUUGGUAGUUUUUCAGGUAGUGCAUGAGCAGCUAUGGAGAUUUUGAUAGCUGGGCACUACAUGUUCAAUGGCCAGCCGAGAGGGUAUAUUUGGAGAAUGUUGCUGCCACCACAAAUUCCGAUUCAGUUACUUUGUUAGCCACUCAAAUCGCUGCAUGUCUUCCAAGAUAAAUGCUUUGUAUGCUAAGAUGGAGUCAGCUGUGAAAAAUCGAUGAUGAUGGAAGAGGCAAAUUUUGUCAGCAAUUGGAAUUUCAGGAAUUUUCAGCAGGGUGGAUUUCAAAGAGACACAGGGAACAAUCAGAGUUGGCAACAGUUAUCAUGGAGGGUCCCGAAUAACGCGCUUCAGCUCCACCAGGCUUCUCUUCCCAAUGAGUCAUCAAUGAGAGAAGAAGCCUAAUUUGGAAGAGCUCUGAUGAAAUUUAUCUCCAAGUCGGAUGAGAGGAUGGAGAAGCUUGAGUCUACCACUGCUGCUUUAGGGACCCGGAUGAAGGUGUUUGAGACUCAGAUGACUCAAGUGACCACUGCUAUUAGCAAUUAUAUCAGUCGGGCCAAUUCUCAAGCAAUACUGUGGUGAGUCCAAAAGAGCAGUGUAUGACCGAUGAGCUCGAAUGUGAUACUUCAUAUGAAGAGCCUCAAGCGAUAGAAGAAGAGCAAGAAGUUCGAAAAGUUGAGAUGAGCUUGGAGGAUGAAAAUUUUAAAAGUGUUGAAGAGCGCAAUGUCCAAAUGUAGUGACACUUCAUCGACCAGGGAAAUCAUUGAAGGCUUGUCUCUUUAGCUUUUAUCUAACUCCAUCUUUUGAUUUUAAUUUUGAUUCAUCUGAUGAAACUUUUUGGAGUGUGGUAGUACUUUUGAUUGUUCCAGGAUGACCAUAGUUUUCAAGAAUUUUGAAGGUUGGAAAACACCUUAUCAUUGGUUCGCAAAGAUGAUGUACUCAAAUUUGAUGAAAAGUGGCCCCACCUACCUGCUGGAUCGUCGAGCUACGACGUUAAAAAUGCGCUUAUGGAGCAACCAAUUUUGGUUAGUUCGUUUCUUUUCGUUUGUGUUUAUUUUUUGUCCCCACUAAUCCUUUUCAAACUUAUUUCCUGUGGUUGAAUAAGUUUGGGGGAUGUGUCUUCGUGGGUGCACUUUUUGUUUUGGUUGUUUUUGUUCUGUCGUUAAGUUUUCUUAGUCUUGCUUUGGUGGUUCUCUCUGUGAUUUUACCUUGAUGAUGAUGUGAGUAGUGUAGAGAUUGGUUGGAUAACUGGUUCAUGAUGAUUUCUGUUUAAAACUUAUGGAAUUGCAUUCGUUUGAGUUGAUAUUGUUGUGAUUGAGCAUGAGUGAUGAAUGAUAAGCGUGGUCUCUAUGUGUUUGCAAUCAAUGAAAUAAGCUGUGAGGAUUUGAGCAUUGACUGUCAUUAUUUUACAGUCUUAUUUUUUAUUCUUGAGUGAUUGUUCGAGCAUGCAUGUUUCUCACUAGAACUUAUCUUGGUUUCUCCCUCGAGGGCACAUAGUGUGCUUAAUAACUUUGAGAUCAUAGAAGGCCAUCUUUGCUAGCCUAUAUAUCCCAUAUUUGUCCUUUUACUAUAUAUGAUCCUAGUUCGCCCCCUUUGAGCCUUAUUUUCCAUUUUAUUUGAUUUAGCCGUGGGUGGGAACUUGGAGAUUGUUGAUGUGGGGUAGUUGGUUUGUGGAGAUGUGUAAUUAUGAAUUAUGAAUUUUAUUACUUGAUUGGUAAAAAUUCCAAUACCCUGAACUUAGUUUGAAAAAAAAGAAAAAAAAAAGAGAGAACAAAAGAAUUGAAAAAUGGGUACAUAGGAUGCAUUAGAGAGACAUAAUGUCAUGAGAAAUAAUUGUUGAGUUGUGAUAGUUCUUGCCUUCAAAAAUUUGGUUUUGUGAGAGGUGAAAGAUAGAAUUGAGUAAGAAUGCUAUAAAGUUGGUGAUUGAGCUACAUUGAGCCGUAUCUUUUAGUCACUUAGUCAAAUACAUCCUACCUAACCAAAGAGCCUACAUUACAACCCUCAAUAAAGACCUUUUUGAUCUUGGUUAUAGGAGCACACAUUAAGUGGUGGAGAGGUGAGACGAUUGACAAGCUUAUGGUUGAGUACUUGUUUUGCUUGAACUGAGCGUAUACACGUCCAUGUUGAUUUACACACUUGAGAGUUGAGAGUUCUUAAAUUCUUUAUCUUUUUGGUGAGGAUUGCAAUUCAUUGAGACCAUAUUUUGAGUUUGUCAUGAGUGUGAUAUCUUGAUGAUAAGAGAUACAAAUGCAUGUCGUUAUUUUUGUUGACAAAUCUGAAGUCACAAUGUUAUCCACUUGUCUCUGCGCUCUUUGUGAUUCAUUCUUGGUUCAUCUUUGUUUUGUCCGAGAACGGACAAUAGUUCAAGUUUGGGGGAUUGAUAAACAUGCAUUUUUACCUCUUAGUGUGUCAUAUUUGAUGUUUAGUUGUCAGGAUUUUGUGUGUUUGAUGGUUUAUUUGAGCUUAUUUAGUUUAUGGUCAAGAACUUGUCACUUGCUUGUUGUUUGAACGAAUUUUCAGAAAUAAUGAAGCAGAAUUUGAAAGAAUUAACUGAAAUAUAAGUUGUAGUUCGUCUCGAGAGAAAUUCGAGAGCACAAACGGAUCAUAAAUCGGAGUUCGAACGAGGGAGAACGAGCAAAAACAAAAUUGCUGCGCAAAGCUGUCAGAAUCUCGUGGCGCCUCAUGCGGGCUGGGCGCGCGGCCGUGCCUCGGGCCGCGUGACAGCACAGUUUUUGCGCGAUUUUUCCAUUAUUUCAGCUAUUUUUCGAUCCUACACGGGUUUGACCUAUAUUUUGAGACCUAGGGCAUAUAAAUACUCCCCAGAAACAUAUCAGCUCUCAGCUUAUAUGAUUAAGGAGUUGAUUAGGGGCUUUAUUUACUUUCAAUUCUCAACUCUCUCUCUCAUUUUUUCGACCACCACUGCCGACCACCACCACCACCGCGGUCGCUGACCACUGACGAAGCCGUCGUUUGAGCUUCACGCAAAUAAAUGUAUCCUAUGCCCACAACUAGGUUAGCUAGCAGUAAGUUCAGAGUCGAAUCCACAGGAAACUCAUGAGUGUAAUCACUCCUGCAAGGGUGUCACUAAAAAGGGUUUUGUUUCUGAUUGUUCUGACCACAACUCGCUUAUGGGCAGAACGAGGUUUUGGACCAAACUGAAAUAACAAAAGUAACUUGAUCAAAUAACAAAAUAAUUAUGAUUUAGGUUUGACUCGCUAAAUAUGAACUAGACACUCGGUCAUUGGUGCAAAGAUAUUUUACUACACUCGCAUACCAGUUGGUUAUAGGCAAAAGACAGCUACGCCCUCAUUGUCACGCGUCACGCACAUAACAGCCCUCUGCCCAAUCUAUCUUUUAAGUGUAUAAUCCCUUAGAAGUUAUCAGCUAAUGUGAGUUAACUAACCCAGGAAACAUCCACUCUCUAUGUUGGCCUCUCGCUAAGAGUGUUUUGCCCAAGAUGCAUUAGGAUUUCAAUAGACCCAACUUGACUCUUAUGUGGAGUAUUUCACCACAGCCACGCUCCAACACUCAUCGUACUCUUUGGAGGUCGAUGACGUGUCGCCUUUGCCCAAAGUUUACUUGUGGUCAAAACUCCCUAGUUAACUAGUAUCAAUUAAUUAACCAAGUUGCCCAAACCUAUUUGAUCAGACCUAGUUAUCGAAUAUCUCAUGCAUUAUUAUGCCCAAAUUAGACCUCGAUUAAGUGUUCAUGCUUAGCUUAUCUCCCCAAAUCAAAUAUAAAUUAGCUAGACAUAAAAUAAAUAACAAAGGUAAAAGACAUAAUAGAAAACAUAAAGUAAAAACUGAAAUAGAAACUUACUUAAGGCAAAGAGUACUUACGGCCAAAAGUGCCGCAGAAACAUGAAAGAAAAUAAACUAUGCCCAUAAGAGGCGAUGCUCCUCAACUCUGGAAAGUAAAACUACAGCAGUGGUCUCUGAAAAUUCGUCCUCCUUGGGUUGUCCUCUCAACCCUUGAAUGGUUCACAGCUAUGUGGUAUUUAUAGACAUGAGUUAGGGCUACGUAGGGCUCGGCCCAAAAUGAGUGGGCUGGAAUUAGAGCUUCUUCUGCCAGAGAUUGCAUCCAGGUCAGCAGACUGAUUUGUUCUUUUCCAAACCUCAAGGGAUAAGGUUUUUGGAUUUCUUUCCUUAUCUACAUCUUCUUAUUAGAUUGUGUCUUUGCCCUCAACACGAAUUUAUGUACUUCAUCUCUUGCACUCUUCUUCUCUGCCCCGUACGUACCUUCUGCACUCGAUCAUCUUCUAAUGCAACUGGAUUCCAUGCGGUGCUUAUGGGCAAAGCGUUAUGUUGACUUGAGCAACUCCAAACUUCAUCUAAGAUUUUGUAACAUGUUGCUUCAAGCUUCAAUUGGCUUUGUAUUUGUGCUCAUACUUCUUCCCCGAAUCGAAGUUGCAUUAUGCCCAAGACCUUCUUCCGGUGCAACUGGAUCCCGAGCAGUACUUAUGGGCAAAUGGUCGGUUUGCCCAACUUCUUGCUUUUAAACUUUUGGUCUUCAAAACAAGCUUUUGAGUGUCCCAAACUCUUCUGCUUUAAACCCAUGCCUCUUUCGCAAAAUAUUGCAGCAGCAUUAUGCCUUAAGUAAAAAAGAACUAUGCCCUUCUUCUGCCCAAGAAGCAGCUCUCUUCCGAACUAUGCCCUCCCAGGCACAAGACACUAACAAAACAAAGAAAAAAGAGACUUGAUCUAGACCUAAAAUAGACAAAAAAAACAAGCACAAAUAUGGGCUCAUCAACCACCGCCACCGCCGCUGAUUCCCUCUGCUAUGCCGCUGAAAAUUGAACCCAGAAAAUCAAAACUAGAAAUUACAAAUUAUCCAAAAAAUUUAGCACAAAAAACUUAUUCAAAAUUAGCAUCAAAAUUGCAAACGAAAACUAUUCUCAUUUCAAAACAAAAAUUGGUAGAAACAGGAAGAAUGACGGCGGAGAUGGAGGGUUUUAGAAGGAGGGUGGUGGCCUCACCGCUGCGGCGGUCGGAGAAGGAGAAAGACAGAGGGUGAGAUGAGGGUGAAUACCGCCGGCCUUCGUAGGGCGGUGCCGUGGUCAGGGCAGCAGCGGCGCUAUGGUCAAGGUGGCAACGGCGCCAAGAGAGCCGAGAGAGAGGAUGGGUGAGAACAAAAAUCUUAAACAAAAAGCUGCACAAAUCUGAAAUCAAAUUGAAAUCAAAAUUGACUCACGCCCAGAAAACCCAGAAAAUCAAACUCAAAAUCGGAGAGAAAGAGGGGUGUUUGGCGGGGCUAGGGCUCGGCCCUCUGCCCCCGUCAGUGUGUGUGUGAGGCGAGGGGUGUUCGGUAGUCGGAGGUUCACCGGAGGGGCGAGGGGUGCUCGCCGGUGGCCGUGGCUCACCGGCGGCAACUUGGCCGAGAAGGGGAUGAGAGAAGGAGGGAUGUGAAGCCGAUUUCAGGUGGGGGAGGCCGAGGAAGUGCGAGUACAUGCAUCUCGAUAGGGAGAGAUCGAUCUUGGUGGCGAAAUCGAGGGAGUUUGAGGGGGGAUUCGAGAUCGGAUUGUCGAGGGGGGAGGCAGAGAUGGAGGUUUUCGAGUCCGCGUUUCAUCGAGGACUCGAAGAAAUCUUGAAGAUGUAAUUAAUGAUGGUAGCUAGUGUUUCAUCUCUUAUUCCGUUGAAUUAAUUCUAUUGUUGGGUGGUUUUCAUGAUCACUUGAUAUGGUAUAUGAAUAAGAUUAUGGAAUAGAGGAUCUCGUCAUCCGUUAAAACUAUCGUACGUUGUUGUAGAAUUUGUGUUUUCCAUAUUAAUCCCACAUUUCAUGUGUGCUAACAUGUAUCCCACUACUUAAACUUGUUAUUCCAAGUAAAAUAUUCCUUCGUCCACGAAAAACAAGACCUAACUUAAAGAAGAAGAGUGGUACAAAUUAUAAGAAAAUCUGUAUUGAUUUUUUAAUGAGGGAAGAAAGGAGUUCACAAAUUAAGAAAAUAGAAAAAAGUUAAUUAAACUAAUGAACAGAGAAAUGAGCUCACAACUUAAUGACUGCAGAAAGGGCUCACAAAUUAAUUAAAUCAUAAUUAAAAGUAUGUUAUGAUAUAUUUAAGUAGACGAUGAAAAUAAAAAAUUAAGUUUUAUUUUCGUGAAUGGAGAGAGCAAUAUUUUAAGAGAAGUGCUAUUUGGACAAAAUGAUUAUUUUAAUAUUUUCCCAUGUGUUUUUUUGGAUUCAUUUCUUCAUUCUUUUAUAGAUUGUUAUCUAUUAGAUAUUUAUUUUUCACUGCAAAUGUCUAUGUCUGUUUUAAAGUUAAACAUAAUUAAUAUUGUAGUAAAACCACUAAUAAACUUAAAGAGAAUACCUUGCAUGCUUUUUUACCACAUCAGAUUCUUCCUAUAGUGUUCUAUGUACUUAUCUUCACGCUUGCAUUGGUUGCACCUUAAAGCUCUUAGCCGAGUCUCAUACUCAUCUCUAAAUAUUUUUGUUUUGCACUUUGUAUUUUUAGCCACAAAAUAUCAUAUUUUUUCAUACUACUUGUCAAAUCUUAAGUACUCCCUCCGUCCCAUAAAUUUUGACACGUUUGGUUUCGACACGAGAAUUAAGGAGUUGUGAAUUAGUGAUUUAAGUGUGUAGGUAAUAAAGUAUAAAAUGGAUAAAGUAGAGAGAUAAGGUAAUUAAUAAAGUGAUAAAGUAUGAGAGAAAUUUAAUUAAGACCCCUUAUUUUUGAACUAAUUAUUACCUUAUUUGGAAAUGUGUCAAGAUUCGUGGGACGGAGGGAUUAUCAUAUAUUGACCCAUCCACUAAGAUGCAAUUAUACGAACAUUGAAAUUAAUAUCAAUUUNUUUUUUUCUUUUUCAAAUUGAUAUUAAUUUCAAUGUUCGUAUAAUUGCAUCUUAGUGGAUGGGUCAAUAUAUGAUAAUCCCUCCGUCCCACGAAUCUUGACACAUUUCCAAAUAAGGUAAUAAUUAGUUCAAAACUAAGGGGUCUUAAUUAAAUUUUCUCUCAUACUUUAUCACUUUAUUACCUUAUCUCUCUACUUUAUCCAUUUUAUACUUUAUUACCUACACACUUAAAUCACUAAUUCACAACUCCUUAAUUCUCGUGUCGAAACCAAACGUGUCAAAAAUAAGGGGUCUUAAUUUGUGGGAUGAAGGGAGUACUUAAGAUUUGACAAGUAGUAUGAAAAAAUAUGAUAUUUUGUGGCUAAAAAUACAAAGUGCAAAACAAAAAUAUUUAGAGAUGAGUAUGAGACUCGGCUAAGAGCUUUAAGGUGCAACCAAUGCAAGCGUGAAGAUAAGUACAUAGAACACUAUAGGAAGAAUAUGAUGUUGUAAAAAGCAUGCAAGGUAUUCUCUUUAAGUUUAUUAGUGGUUUUACUACAAUAUUAAUUGUGUUAAUAUAUAAUAGUACCACUUUUAUAUAGUAAAAUAAAUUUACCCACUCAAUAAAACAUAAAAAUACCACUUUUUUUGUUAAGGACUAAUUACCCUUCUAUAUAAAUGGGCAAACCCUAAUUUCAUUUCAUUCUCUCAUUUCUCUCUCUCUCUCUCUCUCUUCUCUCUCUCUCUACCCGCUCUCUCAUCUCUCUCUCUCUCUCUCUCUCUUUCUCUCUCUCUCUCUGGCGAUUGAGGCGGCGGAUCGAAUGGAGCACGGCGGUGGCGGCCGAGGGCGGCCAUUGAGGCGGCGGAUCGACUGGAGCACAGCGGUGGCGGUCGAGGACGGCCAUGGCGACAUCGGCGUUGCCGCCGCGCGUUCCUCUCCUCAUCUCCAAUCUCGGCGUUGCCGCCGCGCGGUCUCUCUUUCCUUCUUCCUCUGUCUACACGCACCUCCGCCGCUGUCCGCCCCCUCGCCGCGGUCGAGGCUCCGGAGAAGGUCAUCGAUCUCGGCGAUCAGAUCUCGAGCCUCACCAUCGCCGCCUCGCUCUUUCUCUUCUCUCUCUCUCAUUUUUCUCUCAUCUGGUCUCUGAUCUAUCAGUAGCAGCAGCGAAGGCGGCGCCGCCUCUUCCUCUCUACUCUUCUCCAAAUUUGAAGCUUUAAUUUUGUGAUAAUUUUUCAUUUGAAUUUAGGGAUCAAGUUUGAAUUUUGAUGAAGCUUUGUUCUAGAAUGAAUUUUGAAUUUAGGGAUGAAUUUAGAGAUGAAUUUUGAUGCCGAUGAGAAUGAUUGCCGAUGAGAAUGAUUGGAAUGAAUUUCUGCAGAUUGGAUAAAUUUCUCCCUAAUUCAAUUGAAUGUAAUCGAAAAAACAUAAAAGUAACGAAGAAAUUGAUGAAAAUCGCGCAAUUUUGUACAAAUGUUCUUGAAUUCACAACCAGGUUUAUGAAUUCACAACUGAAUUAUCAGCGUUGGUUGUGAAUUCACAAUUGAAAUAGUGUUGGUUGUGAAUUCACAAUUUGAAAUAAUGUUGAUUGUGAAUUCAAAUUUUAUCGGUUGUGAAUUCACAACUCGAAAUAAAGUCGGUUGUGAAUUCACGUGAAUUCUCAACCAACACUUGUUAUUCACAACCAAUACUUGAAUUUAGUUGUGAAUUCGAGUUGAAUUCACAACCAGUGAACAGUGGGUAUUUGUAAAAUUUUAUAUGUAAGGGUAAAAUGGUAAAUAUGAGUAUUUUUUUAAGUUUUUAUAUUAGUGGGUAAAAUUUAUUUUUACUAUAUAAAAGUGGCUAUUUUCAAAAUCCACUCAUAUUAAUUAUGUUUAACUUUAAAACAGACAUAGACAUUUGCAGUGAAAAAUAAAUAUCUAAUAGAUAACAAUCUAUAAAAGAAUGAAGAAAUGAAUCCAAAAAAACACAUGGGAAAAUAUUAAAAUAAUCAUUUUUUCCAAAUAGCACUACUCUUAAAAUAUAGCUUUCUCCAUUCACGAAAAUAAAACUUAAUUUUUUAUUUUCAUCGUCUACUUAAAUAUAUCAUAACAUACUUUUAAUUACGAUUUAAUUAAUUUGUGAGCCCUUUCUGCAGUCAUUAAGUUGUGAGCUCAUUUCUCUGUUCAUUAGUUUAAUUAAUUUUUUUCAAUUUUCUUAAUUUGUGAACUCCUUUCUUCCCUCAUUAAAAAAUCAAUACAGAUUUUCUUAUAAUUUGUACCACUCUUCUUCUUUAAGUUAGGUCUUGUUUUUCGUGGACGAAGGAAUAUUUUACUUGGAAUAACAAGUUUAAGUAGUGGGAUACAUGUUAGCACACAUGAAAUGUGUGGUUAAUAUGGAAAACACAAAUUCUACUAGUACGAUAGUUUUAACGGAUGACGAGAUCCUCUAUUCCAUAAUCUUAUUCAUAUACCAUAUCAAGUGAUCAUGAAAACCACCCAAUAAUAGAAAUUAAUUCAACGGAAUAAGAGAUGAAACACUAGCUACCAUAAUUAAUUACAUCUUCAAGAUUUCUUCGAGUCCUCGAUGAAACGCGGACUCGAAAACCUCCAUCUCCGCCUCCCCCCUCGACAAUCCGAUCUCGAAUCCCCCCUCAAACUCCCUCGAUUUCGCCACCGAGAUCGAUCUCUCCCUAUCGAGAUGCACGUACUCGCACUUCCUUGGCCUCCCGCACCCGAAAUCGGCUUCACAUCCCUCCUUCUCUCAUCCCCUUCUCGGCCAAGUUGCCGCCGGCGAGCCACGGCUACCAGCGAGCACCCCUCGCCCCUCCGGUGAACCUCCGACCACCGAACGCCCCUCGCCUCACACACACACUGACGGGGGCAGAGGGCCGAGCCCUAGCCCCACCAAACACCCCUCUUUCUCUCCGAUUUUGAGUUUGAUUUUCUGGGUUUUCUGGGCGUGAGUCAAUUUUGAUUUCAAUUUGAUUUCAGAUUUGUGCAGCUUUUUAUUUAAGAUUUUUGUUCUCACUCAUCCUCUCUCUCGGCUCUCUUGGCGCCGUUGCCGCCUUGAUCAUAGCGCUGCUGCUGCCCUGACCACGGCACCGCCCUACGAAGGCCGGCGGUAUCCACCCUUAUCUCACCCUCCCUCUUUCUCUCUCGUUUGGAAAUAGGGCGAGCGCCUCCCUUCUUCUAAAACCGCCGCCCAUCCCCCUCUGUUCUCCUUCUCCGACCGCCGCAGCGGUGAGGCCACCACCCUCCUUCUGAAACCCUCCAUCUCCGCCGUCAUUCUUCCUCUUUCUACCAAUUUUUGUUUUGGAAUGAGAAUAGUUUUCGUUUGCAAUUUUGAUGCUAAUUUUGAAUCAGUUUUUUGUGCUAAAUUUUUUUGAUAAUUUGUAAUUUCUAGUUUUGAUUUUCUGGGUUCAAUUUUCAGCGGCAUAGCAGAGGGAAUCAGCGGCGGUGGCGGUGGUUGAUGAGCCCAUGUUUGUGCUUGUUUUUAGGUCUAUUUUAGGUCUAGAUCGAGUCUAUUUUUUUCUUUGUUUUGUUAGUGUCUUGUGCCUGGGAGGGCAUAGUUCGAAAGAGAGCUGCUUCUUGGGCAGAAGAAGGGCAUAGUUCUUUUUUUCUUAAGGCAUAAUGCUGCUGCAAUAUUUCGCGAAAGAGGCAUGGGUUUAAAGCAGAAGAGUUUGGGACACUCUAAAGCUUGUUUUGAAGACCAAAAGUUUGAAAAACAAGAAGUUGGGCAAACUGACCAUUUGCCCAUAAGUACUGCGCGGGAUUCAGUUGCACCGGAAGAAGGUCUUGGGUAUAAUGCGACUUCGAUUCGGGGAAGAAGUAUGAGCACAAAUACGAAGCCAAUUGGAGCUUGAAGCAACAUGUUACAAAAUCUUAGAUGAAGUUUGGAGUUGCUCAAGUCAACAUAGCGCUUUGCCCAUAAGCACCGCAUGGAAUCCAGUUGCAUUAGAAGAUGAUCGAGUGCAGAAGGUACAUACGGGGCAGAGAAGAAGAGUAUAAGAGAUGAAGUACAUAAAUUCGUGUUGAGGGCAAAGGCACAAUCUAAUAAGAAGAUGUAGAUAAAGAAAGAAAUCCAAAAACCUUAUCCCUUGAGGUUUGGAUAAGAACAAAUCAGCCUGCUGACCUGGAUGCAAUCUCUGGCAGAAGUAGCCCUAAUUCCAGCCCACUCAUUUUGGGCCGAGCCCUACGUAGCCCUAACUUAUGUCUAUAAAUACCACAUAGCUAUGAACCAUUCAAGGGUUGAGAGGACACCCCAAGGAGGACGAAUUUUCAGAGACCACUGCUGUAGUUUUACUUUCCAGAGUUUGUUAGGAGCAGUCGCCUCUUAUGGGCAUAGCUAUUUAAUUUUCUGUUCAUGUUUUCUACGACACUUUUGGCCGUAAGUACCCUUUGCCUUAAGUAAAUUUCUAUUUAAGUUUUUACUUUAUGUUUUCUAUUAUGUCUUUUACCUUUGUUAUUUAUUUUAUGUCUAGCUAAUUUUAUAUUCUGAUUUGGGUGAGAUAAGCUAAGCAUGAACACUUAACUCGGGAGGUCUAAUUUGGGCAUAAUAACUGCAUGAGUAUAUUCCCGAUACACUAGGUCUGAUUCAAAUACGGUUUGGGCAACUUGGUUAAUUAAUUGAUCACUAGUUAACUAGGGAGUUUUGGCCACAAGUAAACUUUGGACAAAGGUGACACGUCAUCGACCUCCAAAGAGUACGACGACUGUUGGAGUUGUGGCUGUGGUGAAAUACUCCACAUAAGAGUCAAGUUGGGUCUAUCGAAAUCCUAAUGUAUCUUGGGCAAAGCACUCUUAGCGAGAGGCCAACGUAGAGAGUGGAUGUUUCCUGAGGUAGUUAACUCACAUUAGCUGAUAACUUCUAAGGGAUUAUACACUUAAAAGAUAGAUUGGGCAGAGAGCUGUUACGUGCGUGACGCGUGACAAUGGGGGCGUAGCUGUCUUUUGCCUAUAACCAACUGGUAUGCGAGUGUAGUAAAAUAUCUUUGCACCAAUGACCGAGUGUUUAGUUCAUGUUUAGCGAGUCAAACCUAAAUCAUAAUUAUUUUGUUAUUUGAACAAGUUACUUUUGUUAUUUCAGUUUGGUCCGAAACCCCGUUCUGCCCAUAAGCGAGUUGUGGUCAGAACAAUCAGAAACAAAACCCUUUUUAGUGACACCCUUGCAGGAGAGAUUACACUCAUGAGUUUCCUGUGGAUUCGACUCUGGACUUACUGCUAGCUAAUCUAGUUGUGGGCACAUGAUAAAUUUAUUUGCAUGAAGCUCAAACGACGGCUUCGUCAGUGGUCAGCGACCGCGAUGGUGGUGGUCGAAAAAAUGAGAGAGAGGGUUGAGAAUUGAAAGUAAAUAAAGCCCCUAAUCAACUCCUUAAUCAAAUACACUAAUGAUGUGGGCCACAACACUUUAUUUCUUAAACUACCUCACUUUAUAUGCCCUAGUGUCUCAAAAUUGGCAAGUUAGGUCGAAAUACAUAUGAUAUGGAAAAUCGCGCAAAAACUGUGCUGUCACGCGGCCGAGGCACGGCCGCGCGCCCAGCCAUGAGGCCAAUUCUGAACUUAGAUUGUUAACACUACAAGAAAAACGCUCAUACAUGACGGCUAAAAACCGUGAUCUAUGCCCUUCCAGAACCGUCAAGUAUAGUGGUGUCAAGAAUAGUCCCUAGUAUAGAUGACGGUUAAUAACCGUCAUGUAUGAUCACUUUUCUUGACGGUUCUGUAUCUAUACUUGACGGUUUGAAACCGUCAAGUAUUGUACAAUACAUGACACUCAUAUUUUUUUCUUGACGUCUUUCUGACCGUCAUGUAAAAUCAAAAACAUGACAGUAUGUUUGUCAUACUUGACACUUUAUAAGCGUCAUGUAUAUUGACAUAUACGACAAUUUAGGUAUAUAUAUGACUGUUGAAAACCGUCAUCUAUGCUUUUUUCAAAAUUUAAAUAUAAUAUUUCCUAUUAUAUUUACUUUUUCCUGUUUUUAUAUUUAUAAAUAUGAAUACAUUGUACUAUUAAAUAACAAACUAACACAUACUGAAAUGCUCAUUUAACAUUGAUAACAACUAAUAAUCCAACAUCCACAAAACAAGAUCCUUGUUUUUCUUUUUGUUGUCCCACUUUAAUGUCUUUUUUAAAAGCUACACCAUAAUAGUAUUUUUCAUAUGACAAUCCUACAACAUCUAAAAAAGCUGCACCAUAAUAGGACCAGCCACCACUCCUGGAUUCAGCACGACUAUGUCCACGCUAUUUUCCUCCGCAAAUUGCCAUGCAGAUUUCUCAGCAACCGCUUUAGACACAGAAUACAAAAAUUAACAACACAACAAANAAAUUCUUGAAAACUAUGGCCAUCCUGUGAACAAUCAAAAGUACUACCACACUCCAAAAAGUGUUCAUCAGAUGAAUCAAAAUUAAAAUCAAAAUAUGGAGUUAGAUAAAAGACUAAAGAGACAAGCCUUCAUUGUAUUUCCUUUGGUCGAUGCAAGUGUCAACUACAUUUUGGACAUCGCGCUCUUCAACACUUUAAAAUUUUUCUAUCCUUCAAGCUCAUCUCAACUUUCAGAACUUCUUGUUCUUCUUCCAUCGGUUGAGGCUCUUCAUAUGAUGUAUCACAUUCAAGCUCAUUGGUCAUACACUGCUCUUUUGGAUUCACCACGGUAUUGCUUGGGAAUUGGUGCGACUGAUCUAGAUUGCUAAUAGCAGUGACUAUUUGAGCUAUCUGAGUCUCAAACACCUUCAUCUGAGUCCCUAAAGCAGCAGUGGUAGACUCAAGCUUCUCCAUCCUCUCAUCUGACUUGGAGAUAAAUUUCAUCAGCAGCUCUUCCAAAUUAGGCUUCUUCUCCUCAUUGAUGACUCCAUUGGUGACAGAGAAGCCUGGUGGAGCCUGAAGCGCGUUAUUCGGGCACCCUCCAUGAUAGAGCUGUUGCCAACUCUGAUUGUUUCCCUGUUGUACUCUUUGAAAUCCACCCUGCUGAAAAUUCCUGAAAUUCCAAUUGCUGAUAAAAUUUGCCUCUUCCAUCAUCAUCGGAUUUUUCACAGCUGACUCCAUCUUAGCAAUACUCAAAGCAUUUAUCUUGGAAGACAAUGCAGCGAUUUGAAAGGCUAACAAAGUAACUGAAUCAGAAUUUGUGGUGGCAGCAACAUUCUCCAAAUAUACCUUCCCGGCUGGCCAUUGAUAGCAUGUAGUGCCCAUGCUAUCAAAAAUCUCCAUAGCUGCUCAUGCACUACCUGUAAAAACUCCAGAACUAAAAAAAUAAGAACCAAAAGAAAAAUAGAGAAAAUAAAUAGAAAUAACAAAAAAAAUCCAGAUUAGUAUCAAAUAAUCAACAGAUAGUACUGAUAAAAAUCAGUCCCCGGCAACGGCGCCAAAAACUUGUUCGCUAUUUUAUUAACACGCCGCAAGUGUACGGGUGCAAUUGUGUACAGUAGCAAGCAAGGUCGUAUUCCACAGAGACUGAAUUUACCAAUUCCUAUCCUAAAUUAUUCUACUCUAUCUGGACAAACGAAAUUGAGUGUUUUGUUGUAAAAAACAAAAUAAAUAAACAGCAGGAAAGAAAAUAAAGCAAGCUGCGAAACAGAUAAACAGAUAAGAGGAGAUUUCCCAAGGCAAAGGUUUCAACAGAUUCUCCUAACUAACAUGUUCAAUUCAAUUAAUAAGAUGAUUCCUAAGGCAAUCUCUAAGCUAGUUCAUACCCACUCCUGUGGCAUACAAACCGUUGAUUACAUGCAAGGCUACCAUCCCUGGAUCGCACUUCUAACAUGGAACUCCUAAAAGUUCCUAGGAUUAACGCCCUCACAAAUAUCAAUUCCCUUUAGAAUUAAAUAUAUGUGUUCUAUGUUCUUAGUUCAGGUAAUAAUUAUCAUCUCCCGAUAUCAAAUUGAAACCUAUGAUUAUGCUAAAUUGGUCGCCAAUCAAUAAAGAAAACAAUUAUAACAAGAACAUAAAAAGGAAUAACAAUCUCAAUUAAUUGAAUCAAACAGUCAGAAAUUCAAAUCAUGUCUACUCCCUAAACCCUGGGAAAAAGGGAUUCUAGCCACACAUAGACAUAUGAACUAGAAUACAAUUCUCAAUAAAACAAAUAAACAUCCACAAGAAAAACCGUAGUAGAAUUGAGAAUCUUCAGUUCUUGCUCUCGCUCCGUUCUCCGUCUCUCUCAGCUCUCAGGAAAAGUAAAAUAUGAUACAAGCUGAUAAAAAGCUGAGAGCUGAUAUGUUUCUGGGGAGUAUUUAUAUGCCCUAGGUCUCAAAAUAUAGGUCAAACCCGUGUAGGAUCGAAAAAUAGCUGAAAUAAUGGAAAAAUCGCGCAAAAACUGUGCUGUCACGCGGCCCGAGGCGCGGCCGCGCGCCCAGCCCGCAUGAGGCGCCACGAGAUUCUGACAGCUUUGCGCCAAUUUUGUUUUUGCUCGUUCUCCCUCGUCCGAACUCCGAUUUACGAUCUGUUUCCGCUCACGAACUCCUCUCGAGACAAACUACAACUUGUAUUUCAGUUAAUUCUUUCAAAUUCUGCUUCAUUAUUUCUGAAAAUUCGUUCAAACAACAAGCAAGUGACAAGUUCUUGACCAUAAACUAAUAUAAGCUCAAAUAAACCAUCAAACACACAAAAUCCUCACAAUUAAACAUCGAAAAAUGAGAGAGAGGGUUGAGAAUUGAAAGUAAAUAAAGCCCCUAAUCAACUCCUUAAUCAAAUACACUAAUGAUGUGGGCCACAACACUUUAUUUCUUAAACUACCUCACCUUAACCUCUGUGCCCAAAUGAAGUGUGUCUUCAUUAUUGGGACGGAGGGAGUAUCAUUUGUUCUAAAUUGUACCUAUAUUUAGGUAUACUGGCUAUUAAUUAGUCCAUUGAUAAAAUGUACAAGACAUGGAUAUCAUGAGUAGAUUAUUGCUAACGUUUAUUAGUAAUUAAUAAAAACAAUGUUAUGCACCUAUGUUGUUCCAGUUUCAUAUAUGUGAGUAUUUUCAACGUGAGAUUGACGAGGUUCGUGAGGAUUAUUGGGCUUCUUGUAUGAUCAAUGAGGUUUGUCAAAUAAUCCAUAAAAUUUAUAUCUCACUAUUAUAAUAUCUAAAUAAUGCAUAUAACUCUUCAAACUAUUUGUUUUGUAGAUUGACACGUGAAAGGUCAAUAUUGGUUCAUGAAGAGAUUCGUUAGUUUUGGAUAUGAGGUUCCAACGGCUACUAUUUCGAGUUUUUUUUUUGUAUUAGUUUAGGGUGGAUUCAAACUUUAACCCAAACUUGUAGUAGUAUAUUGUAUUGUGGAUGUAAGAUUCUUAAUGUUGGAUGAUUAAUGUAUGGAUAUGUUAUUGAGAAUUUAAAUUAUGUGUUGAAAUGUUAUAUUGUACAAUUUAUUGGAUUUCAAAAUUUAAAUUAUGUGUUGAAAUGUUAUACUGUACAAUUUAUUGGAUUUCAAAAUUUAAAGUAGGAAAAAAAAA